RNAcentral lists this ribosomal RNA (253 nucleotides) under uncultured bacterium. RNAcentral describes it as "partial 16S ribosomal RNA". It matches the Rfam family "Bacterial small subunit ribosomal RNA", at positions 524 to 776 of the family's 1533-position model. The record is from RNAcentral.
UACGUAGGGUGCGAGCGUUGUCCGGAAUUAUUGGGCGUAAAGGGCUCGUAGGCGGUUUGUCGCGUCGGGAGUGAAAUCCACUGGCUUAACUGGUGGCUUGCUUUCGAUACGGGCAGACUGGAGGUAUGCAGGGGAGAACGGAAUUCCUGGUGUAGCGGUGAAAUGCGCAGAUAUCAGGAGGAACACCGGUGGCGAAGGCGGCAUCCUGGACCGAGAUUGACGCUGAGGAGCGAAAGCUAGGGGAGCAAACGGG